Molecule: ribosomal RNA, 1343 nt
Filed under: uncultured bacterium
Lineage: Bacteria
Description: 16S ribosomal RNA
Rfam family: Bacterial small subunit ribosomal RNA
Source: RNAcentral
GACGAACGCUGGCGGCGUGCUUAACACAUGCAAGUCGAACGGAAAGGCCCUGCUUUUGUGGGGUGCUCGAGUGGCGAACGGGUGAGUAACACGUGAGUAACCUGCCCUUGACUUUGGGAUAACUUCAGGAAACUGGGGCUAAUACCGGAUAGGAGCUCCUGCUGCAUGGUGGGGGUUGGAAAGUUUCGGCGGUUGGGGAUGGACUCGCGGCUUAUCAGCUUGUUGGUGGGGUAGUGGCUUACCAAGGCUUUGACGGGUAGCCGGCCUGAGAGGGUGACCGGCCACAUUGGGACUGAGAUACGGCCCAGACUCCUACGGGAGGCAGCAGUGGGGAAUAUUGCACAAUGGGCGGAAGCCUGAUGCAGCAACGCCGCGUGCGGGAUGACGGCCUUCGGGUUGUAAACCGCUUUCGCCUGUGACGAAGCGUGAGUGACGGUAAUGGGUAAAGAAGCACCGGCUAACUACGUGCCAGCAGCCGCGGUGAUACGUAGGGUGCGAGCGUUGUCCGGAUUUAUUGGGCGUAAAGGGCUCGUAGGUGGUUGAUCGCGUCGGAAGUGUAAUCUUGGGGCUUAACCCUGAGCGUGCUUUCGAUACGGGUUGACUUGAGGAAGGUAGGGGAGAAUGGAAUUCCUGGUGGAGCGGUGGAAUGCGCAGAUAUCAGGAGGAACACCAGUGGCGAAGGCGGUUCUCUGGGCCUUUCCUGACGCUGAGGAGCGAAAGCGUGGGGAGCGAACAGGCUUAGAUACCCUGGUAGUCCACGCUGUAAACGGUGGGUACUAGGUGUGGGGUCCAUUCCACGGGUUCCGUGCCGUAGCUAACGCUUUAAGUACCCCGCCUGGGGAGUACGGCCGCAAGGCUAAAACUCAAAGGAAUUGACGGGGCCCCGCACAAGCGGCGGAGCAUGCGGAUUAAUUCGAUGCAACGCGUAGAACCUUACCUGGGUUUGACAUGGAUCGGGAGUGCUCAGAGAUGGGUGUGCCUCUUUUGGGGUCGGUUCACAGGUGGUGCAUGGCUGUCGUCAGCUCGUGUCGUGAGAUGUUGGGUUAAGUCCCGCAACGAGCGCAACCCUUGUUCACUGUUGCCAGCACGUUAUGGUGGGGACUCAGUGGAGACCGCCGGGGUCAACUCGGAGGAAGGUGGGGAUGGCGUCAAGUCAUCAUGCCCCUUAUGUCCAGGGCUUCACGCAUGCUACAAUGGCUGGUACAGAGAGUGGCGAGCCUGUGAGGGUGAGCGAAUCUCGGAAAGCCGGUCUCAGUUCGGAUUGGGGUCUGCAACUCGACCUCAUGAAGUCGGAGUCGCUAGUAAUCGCAGAUCAGCAACGCUGCGGUGAAUACGUUCCCGGG